Molecule: ribosomal RNA, 486 nt
Filed under: uncultured bacterium
Lineage: Bacteria
Description: partial 16S ribosomal RNA
Rfam family: Bacterial small subunit ribosomal RNA
Source: RNAcentral
AUUGAACGCUGGCGGCAUGCCUUACACAUGCAAGUCGAACGGCAGCACGGGUGCUUGCCCCUGGUGGCGAGUGGCGAACGGGUGAGUAAUACAUCGGAACAUGUCCUGUAGUGGGGGAUAGCCCGGCGAAAGCCGGAUUAAUACCGCAUACGAUCUACGGAUGAAAGCGGGGGACCUUCGGGCCUCGCGCUAUAGGGUUGGCCGAUGGCUGAUUAGCUAGUUGGGGGGGUAAAGGCCUACCAAGGCGACGAUCAGUAGCUGGUCUGAGAGGACGACCAGCCACACUGGGACUGAGACACGGCCCAGACUCCUACGGGAGGCAGCAGUGGGGAAUUUUGGACAAUGGGCGAAAGCCUGAUCCAGCAAUGCCGCGUGUGUGAAGAAGGCCUUCGGGUUGUAAAGCACUUUUGUCCGGAAAGAAAUCCUUGGCCCUAAUACGGUCGGGGGAUGACGGUACCGGAAGAAUAAGCACCGGCUAACUACGUG